UACGUAGGGUGCGAGCGUUAAUCGGAAUUACUGGGCGUAAAGCGUGCGCAGGCGGUCGUUCAAGUCGCGUGUGAAAGCCCCCGGCUCAACUGGGGAGGGUCACGCGAUACUGAUCGACUCGAAGGCAGGAGAGGGAAGUGGAAUUCCCGGUGUAGUGGUGAAACGCGUAGAUAUCGGGAGGAACACCAGUGGCGAAGGCGACUUCCUGGCCUGUUCUUGACGCUGAGGCGCGAAAGCUAGGGGAGCAAACGGG
RNAcentral lists this ribosomal RNA (253 nucleotides) under uncultured bacterium. RNAcentral describes it as "partial 16S ribosomal RNA". It matches the Rfam family "Bacterial small subunit ribosomal RNA", at positions 524 to 776 of the family's 1533-position model. The record is from RNAcentral.